RNAcentral lists this non-coding RNA (569 nucleotides) under Camelus bactrianus (Bactrian camel). RNAcentral's name for it is "Eukaryotic large subunit ribosomal RNA". It matches the Rfam family "Eukaryotic large subunit ribosomal RNA", at positions 716 to 1455 of the family's 3401-position model. RNAcentral also lists the same sequence under 2 other names. The record is from Rfam by way of RNAcentral. Lineage: Eukaryota; Metazoa; Chordata; Mammalia; Artiodactyla; Camelidae.
ACUAGGGUAUCUAUAAUAAAAAGGAUAAGUUGGCAAGGAUAUGGCAAAAUUAGAACUCUCAUACACUGCUGGUGGGAAUGGGACCAAAGAUAUGUAAAAACAUCUAGUAGUGGUGCCCUCCAAAAUUUUCCUCAGGAGAGCUGGAAUUCUUACAGACAUGCAGUUUAAUCCAGCAAAGCAAAUGAUUAUGGGUAUUGGGGCUGAAAUGAUGUCAAACUAGUCUCAAACUUUAAGGAGCCAGGGCCACUUUCAGAAAGCAGGACUGGCACUGUGGGACAAACUGAAUGCUAGGUUAAGGCUUUAAAUGCUGAAGCUCAUCAGAACCCUGCCAAGAUAUUGGUUGAUAUACACAGCAAGGCAGGAGCCAAGAAAAUCAGAAUCCACUAGGGAAUAUAAACAAAUCACCUGCCAUAUCACCUAACUCUGAAAAUAUGUGGUACUAAAACAUUAAUUCCAUACACAACUGUGGCUGGUAGUGAACAUGCAGUGGGUAGAAGGGCCCCUGUGGUGUCAGUUCUGAAGACGAGGAUGUAAGUCUAGGUGAAGUUGCUGCAGGUGCAGAUCUUGGU